UAUGGCCAUAUGCCUGCAUGGUGU
This 24-nucleotide non-coding RNA is filed under the name Mus musculus (house mouse). The record is from RNAcentral. Lineage: Eukaryota; Metazoa; Chordata; Mammalia; Rodentia; Muridae.